UCAUCGUUAGUAUGGUGGUGAGUAUCCCCGCCUGUCACGCCGGAGACCGGGGUUCGAUUCCCCGACGGGGAG
Ciona savignyi (Pacific transparent sea squirt) is the source of this 72-nucleotide non-coding RNA. Lineage: Eukaryota; Metazoa; Chordata; Ascidiacea; Phlebobranchia; Cionidae. The record is from Rfam.